This 498-nucleotide ribosomal RNA is filed under the name uncultured soil bacterium. Its description in RNAcentral is "bacterial SSU rRNA". It matches the Rfam family "Bacterial small subunit ribosomal RNA", at positions 8 to 497 of the family's 1533-position model. The record is from RNAcentral.
AGAGUUUGAUCCUGGCUCAGAUUGAACGCUGGCGGCAGGCCUAACACAUGCAAGUCGAACGGUAACAGGAAACAGCUUGCUGUUUCGCUGACGAGUGGCGGACGGGUGAGUAAUGUCUGGGAAACUGCCUGAUGGAGGGGGAUAACUACUGGAAACGGUAGCUAAUACCGCAUAACGUCGCAAGACCAAAGAGGGGGACCUUCGGGCCUCUUGCCAUCGGAUGUGCCCAGAUGGGAUUAGCUAGUAGGUGGGGUAACGGCUCACCUAGGCGACGAUCCCUAGCUGGUCUGAGAGGAUGACCAGCCACACUGGAACUGAGACACGGUCCAGACUCCUACGGGAGGCAGCAGUGGGGAAUAUUGCACAAUGGGCGCAAGCCUGAUGCAGCCAUGCCGCGUGUAUGAAGAAGGCCUUCGGGUUGUAAAGUACUUUCAGCGGGGAGGAAGGGAGUAAAGUUAAUACCUUGCUCAUUGACGUACCCGCAGAAGAAGCCCCCGA